CACGAAGCCGGAAUCGCUAGUAAUCGCGGAUCAGAACGCCGCGGUGAAUACGUUCCCGGGUCUUGUACACACCGCCCGUCACACCAUGGGAGCCUGGAAUGCCCGAAGCCGGUGGCCGAACCGAGAGGGCGGAGCCGCCUAAGGCAGGCCCGGUGACUGGGGUGAAGUCGUAACAAGGUAAC
Molecule: ribosomal RNA, 182 nt
Filed under: uncultured bacterium
Lineage: Bacteria
Description: partial 16S ribosomal RNA
Rfam family: Bacterial small subunit ribosomal RNA
Source: RNAcentral